UGCCCUGCCUGUUUUCUUCUUUG
Molecule: microRNA, 23 nt
Filed under: Macaca mulatta (Rhesus monkey)
Lineage: Eukaryota; Metazoa; Chordata; Mammalia; Primates; Cercopithecidae
Description: Mml-Mir-3173_5p* (star (passenger))
Source: RNAcentral